CAAUAAAAAAUUCCCUGUUUAGAAAUUGGAUAGUUUCGUCCAUGUAAACCUUGAAAUGAUUCAAACCAUAUAUUGUUUAAUAGGGCGGAACUAGACUUCAGUAAUCGUUAAACUAUUAGGGAUUCACUUCAAUUUGUUUUCCACGAUUG
Non-coding RNA from Caenorhabditis elegans, 149 nucleotides. Lineage: Eukaryota; Metazoa; Nematoda; Chromadorea; Rhabditida; Rhabditidae. The record is from Ensembl.